AGCGUUAUCCGGAUUUAUUGGGUUUAAAGGGUGCGUAGGCGGUUUGAUAAGUUAGAGGUGAAAUUUCGGGGCUCAACCCUGAACGUGCCUCUAAUACUGUUGAGCUAGAGAGUAGUUGCGGUAGGCGGAAUGUAUGGUGUAGCGGUGAAAUGCUUAGAGAUCAUACAGAACACCGAUUGCGAAGGCAGCUUACCAAACUAUAUCUGACGUUGAGGCACGAAAGCGUGGGGAGCAAACAGGAUUAGAUACCCUGGUAGUCCACGCAGUAAACGAUGAUAACUCGUUGUCGGCGAUACACAGUCGGUGACUAAGCGAAAGCGAUAAGUUAUCCACCUGGGGAGUACGUUCGCAAGAAUGAAACUCAAAGGAAUUGACGGGGGCCCGCACAAGCGGAGGAACAUGUGGUUUAAUUCGAUGAUACGCGAGGAACCUUACCCGGGCUUGAAAGUUACUGACGAUUCUGGAAACAGGAUUUCCCUUCGGGGCAGGAAACUAGGUGCUGCAUGGUUGUCGUCAGCUCGUGCCGUGAGGUGUCGGGUUAAGUCCCAUAACGAGCGCAACCCCUACCGUUAGUUGCCAUCAGGUGAAGCUGGGCACUCUGGCGGGACUGCCGGUGUAAGCCGAGAGGAAGGUGGGGAUGACGUCAAAUCAGCACGGCCCUUACGUCCGGGGCUACACACGUGUUACAAUGGUAGGUACAGAGGGCAGCUACCCAGCGAUGGGAUGCGAAUCUCGAAAGCCUAUCUCAGUUCGGAUUGGAGGCUGAAACCCGCCUCCAUGAAGUUGGAUUCGCUAGUAAUCGCGCAUCAGCCAUGGCGCGGUGAAUACGUUCCCGGGCCUUGUACACACCGCCCGUCAAGCCAUGGGAGCCGGGGGUGCCUGAAGUUCGUGACCGCAAGGAGCGACCUAGGGCAAAACUGGUGACUGGGGCUAAGUCGUAACAAGGUAGCCGUACCGGAAGGUGCGGCUG
Molecule: ribosomal RNA, 970 nt
Filed under: human gut metagenome
Description: bacterial SSU rRNA
Rfam family: Bacterial small subunit ribosomal RNA
Source: RNAcentral